AGCAACCUGCCCUUGACUCUGGAAUAACAGUUGGAAACAGCUGCUAAUACCGGAUAUGACCUCGAUCGACAUCGAUCUUGGUGGAAAGCUCCGGCGGUCAAGGAUGGGCUCGCGGCCUAUCAGCUUGUUGGUGAGGUAACGGCUCACCAAGGCUUCGACGGGUAGCCGGCCUGAGAGGGCGACCGGCCACACUAGGACUGAGACACGGCUCAG
Molecule: ribosomal RNA, 213 nt
Filed under: uncultured bacterium
Lineage: Bacteria
Description: partial 16S ribosomal RNA
Rfam family: Bacterial small subunit ribosomal RNA
Source: RNAcentral